UGCUCGAGUGGCGAACGGGUGAGUAACACGUGGGUGAUCUGCCCUGCACUUCGGGAUAAGCUUGGGAAACUGGGUCUAAUACCGGAUAGGACCAUCGUCUAGUGUCGGUGGUGGAAAGUUUUUUCGGUGUGGGAUGAGCUCGCGGCCUAUCGGCUUGUUGGUGGGGUAAUGGCCUACCAAGGCGUCGACGGGUAGCCGGCCUGAGAGGGUGUACGGCCACAUUGGGACUGAGAUACGGCCCAG
This 243-nucleotide ribosomal RNA is filed under the name uncultured Actinomycetales bacterium. Its description in RNAcentral is "partial 16S ribosomal RNA". It matches the Rfam family "Bacterial small subunit ribosomal RNA", at positions 88 to 334 of the family's 1533-position model. Lineage: Bacteria; Bacillati; Actinomycetota; Actinomycetes; Actinomycetales. The record is from RNAcentral.